CAGCCGCCACGGUAAUACGUAGGGGGCAAACGUUAUCCGGAAUAACUGGGCGUAAAGGGUGCGCAGGUGGUUUAACAAGUUAGUGGUGAAAGGCAUAGGCUCAACCAAUGUAAGCCAUUAAAACUGUUUAACUUGAGUGCAGGAGAGGAAAGUGGAAUUCCCAGUGUAGCGGUGAAAUGCGUAGAUAUUCGUAAGAACACCAGUGGCGAAGGCGGCUCACUGGCCCGAUACUGACGCUGAGGCACGAAAGCGUGGGGAGCAAACAGGAUUAGAUACCCGCGUAGUCCCUGUCUCUUAUACA
Molecule: ribosomal RNA, 301 nt
Filed under: uncultured bacterium
Lineage: Bacteria
Description: partial 16S ribosomal RNA
Rfam family: Bacterial small subunit ribosomal RNA
Source: RNAcentral